Molecule: transfer RNA, 89 nt
Filed under: Candidatus Omnitrophota bacterium
Lineage: Bacteria; Pseudomonadati; Candidatus Omnitrophota
Description: tRNA-Ser
Rfam family: tRNA
About the family: Transfer RNA (tRNA) molecules are approximately 80 nucleotides in length. Their secondary structure includes four short double-helical elements and three loops (D, anti-codon, and T loops). Further hydrogen bonds mediate the characteristic L-shaped molecular structure. tRNAs have two regions of fundamental functional importance: the anti-codon, which is responsible for specific mRNA codon recognition, and the 3' end, to which the tRNAs corresponding amino acid is attached (by aminoacyl-tRNA synthetases). tRNAs cope with the degeneracy of the genetic code in two manners: having more than one tRNA (with a specific anti-codon) for a particular amino acid; and 'wobble' base-pairing, i.e. permitting non-standard base-pairing at the 3rd anti-codon position.
Source: RNAcentral
GGAGAGGUCGCAUAGUUGGUUGAGUGCACCGGUCUUGAAAACCGGAAGGGGCCUAGUGUCCCUCGCGAGUUCGAAUCUCGCCCUCUCCG